CUUGCUUUCUCGAGCGAGUGGCGAACGGGUGAGUAACGCGUGAGGAACCUGCCUCAAAGAGGGGGACAACAGUUGGAAACGACUGCUAAUACCGCAUAAGCCCACGACCCGGCAUCGGGUUGAGGGAAAAGGAGCAAUCCGCUUUGAGAUGGCCUCGCGUCCGAUUAGCUGGUUGGUGAGGUAACGGCCCACCAAGGCGACGAUCGGUAGCCGGACUGAGAGGUUGAACGGCCACAUUGGGACUGAGACACGGCCCAGACUCCUACGGGAGGCAGCAGUGGGGAAUAUUGCACAAUGGGGGAAACCCUGAUGCAGCGACGCCGCGUGGAGGAAGAAGGUCUUCGGAUUGUAAACUCCUGUUGUUGAGGAAGAUAAUGACGGUACUCAACAAGGAAGUGACGGCUAACUACGUGCCAGCAGCCGCGGUAAAACGUAGGUCACAAGCGUUGUCCGGAAUUACUGGGUGUAAAGGGAGCGCAGGCGGGAAGACAAGUUGGAAGUGAAAUCUAUGGGCUCAACCCAUAAACUGCUUUCAAAACUGUUUUUCUUGAGUAGUGCAGAGGUAGGCGGAAUUCCCGGUGUAGCGGUGGAAUGCGUAGAUAUCGGGAGGAACACCAGUGGCGAAGGCGGCCUACUGGGCACCAACUGACGCUGAGGCUCGAAAGUGUGGGUAGCAAACAGGAUUAGAUACCCUGGUAGUCCACACCGUAAACGAUGAUUACUAGGUGUUGGAGGAUUGACCCCUUCAGUGCCGCAGUUAACACAAUAAGUAAUCCACCUGGGGAGUACGACCGCAAGGUUGAAACUCAAAGGAAUUGACGGGGGCCCGCACAAGCAGUGGAGUAUGUGGUUUAAUUCGACGCACCGCGAAGAACCUUACCAAGUCUUGACAUCCUGCGACGUGCAUA
This 908-nucleotide ribosomal RNA is filed under the name Faecalibacterium prausnitzii. RNAcentral describes it as "bacterial SSU rRNA". It matches the Rfam family "Bacterial small subunit ribosomal RNA", at positions 72 to 1002 of the family's 1533-position model. The record is from RNAcentral. Lineage: Bacteria; Bacillati; Bacillota; Clostridia; Eubacteriales; Oscillospiraceae.